This 852-nucleotide ribosomal RNA is filed under the name Triticum aestivum (bread wheat). Its description in RNAcentral is "partial small subunit ribosomal RNA". Lineage: Eukaryota; Viridiplantae; Streptophyta; Magnoliopsida; Poales; Poaceae. The record is from RNAcentral.
AUGCCUUGCAACGAGGACGACCGCUGGCUGUUCGCGGCAGCCACGACGGUAGCACUAGGCGAUGGCCGAACGGCCUCCUUCUGGAUGGAUAGUUGGCUGCAAGGCCAAGCUCCAUGCCACAUUGCGCCAGAACUGUUUCGCCUCUCCAAACGCAAGCACCGCACCGUGCGUCAGGCACUAACCGGCAACCGCUGGGUAAACGACCUAGGAGGACGAGUUCCAAGCAACCUCCUCGCGGCUUUUGUUUCCCUCUGGGGCCGGAUCAGUGCUACGACCAUCCUUGAUACGGGCAGGAACAUAUUCACCUGGAAGCUUGAGGCCUCUGGCAGCUACUCGGCCUCUUCGUCAUACCAUUUGCAAUUCUUGGGGUCCACCUUCUCGCCAAUCAUGCAGUCCGUCUGGCGUGCCCGGGCGCUGGCCAAGAUUAAGUUUUUCUCAUGGCUCCUCUCCGCUGGUAGACUACUCACGGCGGACCGGCUCAUGGCCAGGGCAUGGCCUAAUUCCUAUUUCUGUCCGUUAUGCUGGCGCAACCUGGAGACCGCUCAACACUUGUUCAGGGAGUGCACUUGGUCAAGGAACCUCUGGACGGCGGCGGCCAGCCGCUUUCGCGUCCCCACCUUCCUUCCAAGCUCCUGGAGGUCUUCAAACUGCAUGGUGGAUUGGCUGGACGGACUUAGCACGGUGCCUGUUGGCCGCAAGCGGGCGAGAUCAAUCGCUCUCCUAACCACCUGGUGGAUCUGGCUCGAGCGUAACGGCCGCAUUUUCAGGGAUCUCGAGCGCCCUGUCCGGGUAGUGCUGGAGCUUCUCACCGACGAGCUAGCUACGUGGGUAUUGGCGGGGGUAACCACUUGA